UUUCUUUAAGGUUUUGACAGCGGGAAGUAAAGCCGAGAGUGGCCUAACUGUAGCACUUUUAUUUGCUCUAGUAGUACUGGAGGUGGUGGGGGUGGAGGUUUGAAGGCAGCAGGUGGCGGAGCGGCUAGAUGGGGUGGAGGAGUUGGGGGUGGUGAUGGUGGAGGUUUGAAGGCAGGAGGUGGCGGAGCGGCUAGAUGGGGUGGUGAUGGUGAAGAUUAUGGCAAGAGGUAAACAGAGGAGGAGAGCGCAAAGGAGGGAGAGGGGGGUUGGAGAGAGCAUGAUGGUUUGAGCUCAAUACUCUUCCUUUCUUGAUUCC
Molecule: long non-coding RNA, 316 nt
Filed under: Coffea arabica (coffee)
Lineage: Eukaryota; Viridiplantae; Streptophyta; Magnoliopsida; Gentianales; Rubiaceae
Description: long non-coding RNA (CARA_LNC005500)
Source: RNAcentral